Molecule: long non-coding RNA, 2539 nt
Organism: Gasterosteus aculeatus aculeatus (three-spined stickleback)
Lineage: Eukaryota; Metazoa; Chordata; Actinopteri; Perciformes; Gasterosteidae
Source: Ensembl
CCAUUACCAUUGUCCAUUUAGUAAAUUUAUCAUUUUUACACGUUCAGGGACCUUCAUGAGGCAUUUAAAAGGCAGACAUGGUAAGUGUAUUGAUGUGGCACUUAGAUACAUUUUAAACUUUAAUUAAUCCAUAAUGUGAUCCACUCGCAUGUGUGUCCGUGUGUUUGGGAUAGGUGGGGCGAUUGUUUUUACUGUUUAGGUAAAAAUACGUACCGGAUGUAGGCACAAACAUAUCACAAUUAAAGUUAUAACAACAAUCAUUUUUUUCUGUAUGCUAUACAAUAUACACAAAUUUUUGCACCGAAACCCAUUCAUUUAUUGUCAGUGAGCCACAGAGACCCCACAUAUAUGCGAUAAAUAGCAGUGGUUAUGAUUUGAACUGGUAUGGGUCACCCUAUAAUACUCUUUAGGGUGCAUGACCAUUAUAAUUAUCUAAUGCCAGUGCUGUAUUUUAACAAUUUCUAUCUCCUGUAGGUAUCGAAUCAGCCAAAAAGCAAGGUAAUAUGUUUUUUUUUAUUACUUUAUACCUACAUUCAUUUAUGAUCAACAAUCUUAGAAUAGUACUUUAGUUAGUCUUCCAGGAGAAUAUGUACUGUGGUGUCUUUCAGAUGUGUAUGACAUAUUGUAAAAAUAAACAGUUUGCCAUAAUAUUGCUGUUGAUGUAAAUAACCUCAGUGGUUUUGGUUCUGCAUAUCUAGUGCUUUGGGACAUCAAACAAUCAAUAAAUUAUUGCCGUCCUAUAAACGCACCGUCGGCUGCAUGUCUUGGCAGGUGGCACAAACAGACUAAACAUCAUAUUUUGUCAGCAUGUACUGCUAGGAUAUGCUAUCCCUAUUUGUUAUUACACAUUAGAGCCAAAACUACAUUCUGAUGAAGUUUGUGAAAACAGUUGUAUAGAAAACCUUCAUAUUAAAAGGGUUAUGUUUGUAUUGACAGCUGUGAUAAUAUAUCUUGUUUUUGCAGAGAAGCCAAGCACUUCAAAGCCAACACAGAUGACUCCAUAAAUGAUACAAAUCAACAGUUCUGCUUGUCCACAUAGCACAGCCGUGCAAAGUGCCCCAAAAAAAUUAAAAAGACAUAAAGAGAUGUACAUAAUCUUGAUACAUCUCCCAUGAUGUGUAUUGACAUAAGAAACGGAAUCUACGUCACUGCAAAGUACGACCAGUCAGUUUUUUCCAAUUCAUGUGAUCAAAUCCACCACAACUCGAUUGUGAGGUGGAGAUGUGUACGUUCAUUCCAGGAUUGCCUGGUCAUCAUGAAGCAGUCCUGCAAACUACUUCACUGCAGGACAUGGUUAGCAAAGGCCUAAUGUCAUCUGAGUUGGGUGACAACUGUGAACAUGUUGCCACCAAUGACGAGAGUCGAUAGUGUUUCCUAUCUUCUUCUAUCUCCUCAAGGGUGACGUUUAAUUCAGUGGGAGGACAGUGGAACUGUCAGUGGUGGGGAACUGGUCGAUUGCACCGCUGCAUCCAUCGUAUGAUUGGAAUGUGGUGGAUUUUCCAGCAGUCCCCAGGCACACUGGCAUCCUCGGACAUCCAAAUGAAGGACAUUGCUGACUUGGAAACUCACAUGGUGGAAAGCCGCAACCUCAACACACAAAACAUCUGUGUAAUGACUGAGUACCUGGCAACAAAAAAGCGGAUCCCAUGUCUGAAAGACUUGCCUGUGAAGCUGAGGACUCAGGAGGAACAGCCACCAGAAUGUUUUGUGCCUUCUGAAAGUACCUGGCCCCACACCUCCAGCACUGAAUCCUUUAAAGAUUAUCACCACUCAGGCAAUGGUGUACGGGAUAAGCUAUGUCCAUAAAAGGUAAAUCAACAAUUAUUUCUUACAUGGAUGUUCCCCUGAUGAGAUCACAUUAUAUCUGGGCCUCAACAACCAGACUGCUAAAGAAGCUUUGUGUAUGCAUGAAAUCAACUUUUAAUUUUCUUAAUACGUGUUUCAGUUGCGGAAAAACAUUGCCCGACGUGUGCCAACGUUGUGAGAUUCCAGGAUUAUUCUCCCAGAUUUCACAGCUUUAACAACCGUGUGAUCUUAACACUGCCAUUGUGUGAGCUUCUCCGGUCGGGUUUGUCGGUAAGACGCCUGUUAAUGUUUUUUUUGCACUUUAGUCAAAGACAAGUGUCUUUCAUGAAAAGGUUAAGCACAUUAAAGCAUGUACUAAUGGAUAACAAGACAACCAGUGGACGGAUGCUUGACACUGUCAUUUUUCAAUGACAACCGGUACCACCAUCAAAUAGUGAGGAGAGCAUUCCAUCACUUCCACCACCUACCAGUGUGGACACCACCCAGCGUCAUUGUAGCAGAAGCAAAUUGGAAACUGGCCUUCGAUGUCCCUCUUGGGACAUUUAAAAGGCCUGAUCCAGACACCAUAGCGGACAAGGACCUACAGGUGGACAUUGUCAAGGCGUGGUCGGAUCUGGACCGUUCACAAAUUGCUGAGGGCCUCAUAUCAGCCACAGAAAAAGGAUCUCCAGGAAGCUUGUGACACCCUGGGUGUCUCCUCAGAGGGGUCCAUAGCCGACAUGCUGAACAGGCU